RNAcentral lists this ribosomal RNA (497 nucleotides) under uncultured bacterium. RNAcentral describes it as "partial 16S ribosomal RNA". It matches the Rfam family "Bacterial small subunit ribosomal RNA", at positions 28 to 507 of the family's 1533-position model. The record is from RNAcentral.
GAUGAACGCUGGCGGCGUGCCUAACACAUGCAAGUCGAACGAACAGACCAGGCGCUUGUUCCUCUGUCGUUAGCGGCGGACGGGUGAGUCACGCGUGUAUCCUCUACCUAUCAUACUGGGAUAACUACGGAACACCGGCGCUUAUACCGGAUAAUCUAUUGCACCGUAUGGUUCAAUAGUGAAAGACGGUUUUUGUGUCACUUAUAGAUGCUUCCGCGCCGUAUUCGCUAGUUGGUAAGGUACCGGCUUACCAAGGCAACGAUGCGUAGCCGACGUGAGAGCGUGGUCGCCGACACGGGAUGGGAGACACGGACCAUACUCCUGCGCGAGGCAGCAGUAUAGAAUCGUACGCAAUAGUGGAGAGCCUUACAGAGCGAGGCCGAGUGAGAUAUGAAGAUCUUGGGAGCGGAAAGCGCUGUUAUGAGGUAAGAACAAAUGUGUAAUGAGAUGUGCAGGUCUUGACGGUACCGAGUCAAAAAGCCACGGCUAACUACGUG